GAGAGAGAGAGAGAGGGGCCACGGAAACGAACGAAAAAAAGCAUCUUGUGAGGGUUCUCUGGAGAACUCUGGGGAGAGAAGGGGGAGAAAAAUAGAGAGAAAAAAUUCUUAAUUUCCCCAGCAUCUGGAGUUAGGAUUAGGGUUUCUUCUCUCGUUCUCUACUUCCUGAAUCUAGGGUUAGAGUUUUCUCUUUUUCGUCUCCAUAUUUCCUUGCUUCCUUGAUAUUCGUUGACGAGCGGAAUCGUUUGAUUGUUUGGUGCCGGUUGAAAAGAGUUUGAUCGAUUGCUAGGGUUUGAUCGGAUUUUUUUGUUGUUGUUUUUGGGGGGUUUUUGUAUUGGGAUUGCGAAUCUAGGGUUUGCGGAUUGGUUACAGGGAUGGACGAGGCCUGGGAGAGAGCCGUGGAGACGGCCCUCGAAGGACAGGCGGACUCGUCCUCGGCGCCGCGAACCCUAACCCUAGACGGGGCGGUGAAGUGCCUCCAGGGGCGGCUUCCGCCGCCGAGGCUGCUGGAGAGGUACCAGAGCCUGGAGCACCUCUCCAUCGCCAACGUCGGGGUGUCGUCGCUGGAGAAGUUUCCACGCCUCCGGAACCUCCACAGGCUGAUACUCUCUGACAACCGGAUCGCCGGCGGCCUUGAGUUCCUGGUGGAGGCUGGGCUUGAUUCGCUCCGUGAUCUCGAUCUCUCCAACAAUCGAAUCCAGUUCCUCGAGGAUCUCGCGCCUCUCGCGCAGCUCCGGCUGGUGUCGCUGGAUCUCUACGAGUGCCCGGUCACCAGGGUCAAGGACUACCGAUCCCGGGUGUUCGGGAUGAUCAGGACGUUGAAGUAUCUCGACAAGAUGGAUGCUGAUGAGAACGAGCGUCCGGAGACGGACGACGAGGAGGAGGAUGAGGAAGAGGAGGAGGAGGACGAGGAGGACGCUGGGAGCGGCGAAGUUGAUGGUGGGGAUCGAGCCGGGAGGUCAGUGAAUGGCGUCGGGGGAAGUGCCAGAGGUGAUGCGAUUGUCGAUGUGGAUGAGGAUGAGGAGAGUGACGCCGAUGAGGAGGAGACUGAAACUGGUAGGAGUGUGGAGGCCAAUGGACUGGGCCGGGGGCCUCAUCACCAUCUAUCAAAUGGGUUCCGGGUCGCGCCAGUCGGAGCAACUUCCAUUGAUGUCGAGGACGAGGAGGAAGAAGAGGAGGACGUGGAGGACGAUGAUGAGGAGGAAGAGGAUUUGGUGGAGGAGAUCGAUGAGGAGGAAGGGGAAGAUGAUGAUGUGGUUGAGGUGCAUGAUGUUGGGGAUAGUGAUGAGGAUGCUGAUGGGGUGGAGGAGGAUGGAGAAGAGGCGGUAGAUGAAGAGGAGGUUGAUGAGGAGGAUGGGGAUGGAGAUGAAGAGGAAGAGGAAGUGGAGGAUGAAGAGGAUGAUGGUGAGCCAGGGAGCACGGGGAGGUUGAUGAGCACGGAAGGGGAGAUCGAUGGGCAUGAGCAGGGGGAGGAGGAUGAGAAUGGGGAGAUCGGCGAGGAGGAUGAGCAAGGAGUGGAGGAGGAUAGGGAGUAUGAGGAGGGUGAUGGUGAGGAUGAAGACGAGGAAGAGGAUCUUGGAACAGAAUAUCUAGUGCAGCCGAUUGUUCAACCUGUUGAUGAGACUGGAGGAAGUGAUUUUGAUGCUUGCAGCGAAGAUGAUGAGGACGAAGUUGAUGAUGAGGAGAAUAAUCACAGCAAUGGUGUCCAGCCACCCCUUCCCUCCUCUUCUCAACCCAACAAGAGGAAAAGAGAUGAAGAAGAUGAUGACAGUGUUGAGGAUCUGAGGUCUUCAAAGCAUCACUGAUGAUGAUUCAGCAGCAUUGUACAUGGAUGCUAGUAGAAGUAACAAGGGUGGGUUUUUUUUUUCUUUUUCUUUUUUGUUUUAAGUUUGUGUAGAACUUGAAGUCAGUAGUUUAAAAACUUGGAGGGAAUGCAUUGUGUAGCUUGGUUUCUUCCCUCCUUAUUUCAAAAGUUCGUUAGUGUUCUUGUCAGCGCACGGUUCCUUAUUCGACCGUUGCAUCCCUUUCAAGUGACGGUUACAUAUACAUAUACAUAUACAGGGUUUGAGUUUUCCUUCCAAAUAGCUCAGGAAGUUCAAAAACAAGUAGCCGUUGGACACUGUUUGAUUUUUGCGGACUCGGCAAUUCGCAAGCUGUUUCUCUUGGUGCUUUCUUUUUCUUGCAGGUAUUUGCGGGGCAUACGGACGGGGGGAAUUGCACAAUUUGAUGCCUUAAUGAGGGGUGGUAAGCUUCUUUAUUUUAUGACUAUCUUUGUUGCGUGUUUCACAGCUGGAUACUUAAAGUUCAUUUCUUUUGCCUCCUAUCCACCAAUCGCGAGCUAAAAAUGUCACGUUAGAACAGUCUUGAUGUAUGGGAUGACGUCUCUCUCUCUAUCUUUAAUUGUGCGGGCCUGGACGUUGCCACCCGUCCGCCAUUUCUGGCUGGAGUUCCACCGCCCGCUCGUGCUGCCCAAUCGGAUUGAAAGGAAUCGUCCAGGAGCUGUGUUUUGUCUGGAUCUAGUGCAGGAUACAGCUCAUAGGCUCAUUUGUGGUGCUGAGAUAUGAGGAAGAAAAAAAAAAUCAAUGUUUUCAGAGAUAAGGUGGCUCCAAUCUGGCAAUUGACUGUUGGAUACCCUUGGUACCCCAAUCGUGGUUGAUUGCUUUUGCUAGUUGGUGACGCAUUUCUAAACAACGGUUGUAAUGGGCCCGGUUGGAGCGGUGGUAAAGGGAGAUGAGAAGGGGUUUUGACAUUUUGCUAACAUUGGGGACCAAGAAAUGGACCAAAGAUUCGAUCGAAUCCUGUGCUGCAUCCCGUGAUGGUUUCGCUGACAAGCUUCGUCCUCUGAUUCAGGGUGUGAUCUCUGGUUCACCCACAUGAACGUGGGCUCAGAUCCAUGACAUGACAGUUUUGGCCUUGGAUGUAUCUGAGACAGGUGGAUCGCUCCACUGGCCUUUAUCCAAAAUUACCCUAAUUUAAGCCCCUUUUUUUUUAA
Phoenix dactylifera (date palm) is the source of this 2992-nucleotide non-coding RNA. NCBI's taxonomy places the organism in Eukaryota, Viridiplantae, Streptophyta, Magnoliopsida, Arecales, Arecaceae. The record is from RefSeq and is a predicted model, not a curated record.